RNAcentral lists this ribosomal RNA (253 nucleotides) under uncultured bacterium. RNAcentral's name for it is "partial 16S ribosomal RNA". It matches the Rfam family "Bacterial small subunit ribosomal RNA", at positions 524 to 776 of the family's 1533-position model. The record is from RNAcentral.
UACAGAGGUCUCAAGCGUUGUUCGGAUUCAUUGGGCGUAAAGGGUGCGUAGGCGGCGCGGUAAGUCGGGGGCGAAAUCUCGGAGCUUAACUCCGAAACUGCAUUCGAUACUGCCGUGCUUGAGGACUGGAGAGGAGACUGGAAUUUACGGUGUAGCGGUGAAAUGCGUAGAUAUCGUAAGGAAGACCAGUGGCGAAGGCGGGUCUCUGGACAGUUCCUGACGCUGAGGCACGAAGGUCAGGGGAGCAAACGGG